RNAcentral lists this small RNA (19 nucleotides) under Arabidopsis thaliana (thale cress). RNAcentral's name for it is "ATSL236440". The record is from RNAcentral. Lineage: Eukaryota; Viridiplantae; Streptophyta; Magnoliopsida; Brassicales; Brassicaceae.
ACAGAAAAGAAGAAAAAAA